CUAGGCAGAGUGGCAGCUGACACGGAGAAAGAAACAGAUUGAGAACGGGAAGAGGAGUGAAAAUACAUAAAGCAUAAAUAAAGCGAAAUCAAAGCAAUAGGAUAGAGAGAAAGGAGAAAGAAGAAGAGAGAAUUAAUCAAACGGGAGAGGGUUAGGGAGAGAGAAAGAAGAAAGAAAGAAAAGAGGGAAAGUGUGCAGUUUACUUAAGAGAGAGGGAAAAGAAGAAAGAAGAGAGAGAAAGAAAGACGGAGAGAGAAAGAGAGAGAGAGAGAAAGAGAGAGAGCUGCCGCCGGCCCAUUGAGGAAAGAUGGCUACAGUCACUGCAAACGGAGUGCAGCAAGAGAAUGGAUUCAGCACCACGAACAGCGCCGGCAGAAUGAACGGGCUCACGAUCGGUCAGAACACCAUUCCAAUGAAGGACCACGACGCCAUCAAGCUGUUUAUCGGACAGAUUCCUAGAAACCUGGAGGAGAAAGAUUUGAAGCCCCUGUUUGAGGAAUUCGGGAAGAUAUACGAACUCACUGUGCUGAAAGACAGGUUUACGGGAAUGCAUAAAGGAUGUGCCUUUCUAACAUACUGCGCCAGAGAGUCAGCCCUGAAGGCCCAGAGCGCCCUCCAUGAACAGAAGACUCUGCCAGGGAUGAACCGGCCAAUCCAGGUGAAGCCAGCCGACAGUGAAGGACGAGGAGAAGACAGGAAGCUGUUUGUGGGGAUGCUUGGGAAGCAGCAGAGCGAGGAGGACGUUCGGCGGCUGUUUGAGACCUUCGGCCAGAUCGAGGAGUGCACCGUCCUGAGAGGGCCUGAUGGGGCCAGUAAGGGCUGUGCCUUUGUCAAGUUUUCCAGCCACACAGAAGCCCAGGCAGCGAUCAACAGCCUGCACGGUGGACAGACCAUGCCAUGUGUGUGUCCUCAGGGGGCGUCCUCCAGCCUGGUGGUGAAGUUUGCCGACACGGACAAGGAGCGGACCCUGCGCCGGAUGCACCAGAUGGCUGGUCAGCUCGGCAUCUUCAGCCCCAUGACCAUCCAGUUUGGGGCCUAUGGCGCCUACUCUCACGCUGUAAGUCUCGGCUCCACGGGGGAGGAGACGCAGAUGAUGCAACAACAAGCAGCACUAAUGGCGGCGACCCAGAACUCGUAUCUGAACCCGAUGGCAGCCAUCGCUGCGGCACAAAUGCAGCAAAUGGCAGCGUUCAAUGUCAAUGGUCUGGUGGCUGCCCCGAUGACACCGUCUUCAGGCACCAGCACGCCCCCGGGUAUCAAUGCCACGGCUGUGCCCAGCCUAGCAGCGCCCAUGGGGGUCAACGGGUUCGCAUCCCUCCCGCCCCAGACUAACGGACAGCCCGCCAACGAGCCCAUCUACACCAAUGGGAUCCACCCCUACCCAGGUGAGACUACCAAUGGGAUUCACCUCUAUUCAGCACAGAGUCCUACAGUGACUGACCCUCUCCAGCAGGCCUAUGCCGGUGUCCAGCACUACGCAGCAGCCUACCCUGCUGCCUAUGCGCCAAUCAGCCAAGCGUUCCCCCAGCAACCCACCAUCAUUCCCCAGCAACAGAGAGAAGUAUGUUGUUGUUAUUUCCCUCCAGGGCCGGAAGGCUGCAACCUGUUUAUUUACCACUUGCCCCAGGAGUUUGGAGACGCAGAACUCAUGCAAAUGUUUCUGCCUUUCGGCAACGUCAUCUCUGCCAAAGUCUUUGUGGACCGGGCAACCAAUCAAAGCAAAUGUUUUGGCUUUGUGAGUUUCGACAACCCCUCCAGUGCCCAGGCUGCCAUUCAGGCCAUGAAUGGUUUUCAGAUUGGCAUGAAGCGGCUGAAGGUGCAACUGAAGCGGCCAAAGGAUGCCAACCGACCGUACUGACCCCUCUGCCAUCCAUAUCCAGGCUGUCGGAGCAGCCAGCCUGAAGGGAGGAGAGCAGAGGAGAUGGAGAAUGACUUUGAUGUAGCAGCUUGAUGAGGGACAAAUGGAGAAUGUCCUAAGAAUGAUGAGGACCGGCCGGUCAUUAUGACAUCCUCAGUGUGCCUCUAACAGUCGUUCCACAAACACCAGCAGGAGCUUUUUGCCCGCGUGCACGAGUGGUGAGUGAGUGAGUGAGUGAGUGAGUGAAUGUCUGUGUUCUCUGCAGUAUGUGCUUUGUGUAUGCCUGUCAUUGUUAGAGCAACACAUUGUAUGUCAGGGUUUAUUCCAUGUUAUUUCCUGUCUGUUUCAACUGUGUUAAUUAUGUUGCUUUAUUAUUUCCUAUUUUAUUAUUUUCAUUUUAACAUAUUAACUCUAGCUGUAGGUGUAGACACGUUAAAAGAAUCAGCAUCCAUAAAUGAUGUGUAGGGAUUGACUUCAUUUUUGUAUAACUUUGUGAUAACAUUAAACGGAUACUUCAUGAUUAAGUAAUUUCCUGCUUAUCCAGAGUCGACUAACACAUGGAUACUACUUCGUACUUUUAAUAACAUGUCUAAAAUAUUCAUUAGUGUGCAUGGCUUUGUAAGGCCAUUAAUGAUCAACCACCCAUCUUUGGAGUAGUUAGAAGCUUUAUUACACAGCUUUUGAGAGGAGCUGGCUAGUACCCACCAAAGACUUCCAGCAUUGCACCAAGCUAACCAUAUGCUUCAGUACCUUCAACUUCUUUUAAUCUGCACGCAGAGACAUACAAAUGGUAUCCAUUAGGAAAUUAGCCAAAAUCCUGAAGUACCCCUUUAAAGUCCAAUCAUCAACAAGCUCAGCAAUCCUGAAGCCAAUUUCUUUCUUAAAGAUAAAUCCAGUUGGGGAAUGGCAUAGGUACUAGCUGUACAUACCAAUAUUAAGGCAUACAAUAAAAAGGGAUAAAAAAAAAAAAUGCAAUUAUUUUGAGUGUAACUGUGUUCGUUUUCAGAUGAAAAACACACCAUUUGGGCAUAGUCUUAUCUUUUGGAAUGCAGUUUAACACUCCAGUCUUUUACCAUGUAAAUGUUUUCUGGCUGAAUAUUCUAAGAACUCCUUUUUUUUUUUUUAAAGACCAUUAUUAUAUGUUUUGUUGAAGGUUCCGUUUUUUUCUCUAAGCCUUUAUUUCCAUUUUAUUUUUUUUUGUCAAUUUGUUGACUUUUUCCAUUUUGACAGUAAUAACCAGCCUCCAUUUGAUUUGUCAGCCAGCGAUGUUGAGAAAAAGGCAGAGGAACGUGUUCAUCAUACUUUCCACUCGAGAAAAAAUAAAAAGAGGAACUCCCACCGCUUCUUUUCUUCUUUUGUUUUGCACCCAACUGAACCUGCCCUGCUGACAGGGCCAAUCAUAGCGUGAGAUGGCCUCUCAGCAAUCGUUGUGUAGCCAACCAGUAGCCACCAAUCACGAGCACAAGGUCCCAGUUCCCACACCUGAUGAAGGGCCACAACACCUUAUUUCCACAAGUGCAGUAUAAAGUACAAAGACUUCUUGCUCUGCUACAUAUCAUGAAAGAAGGGUGGUCCCUUGAAUCUGCUGGAAGAAUAGCUGGAGAAGAUUGAGUUACUAAGGAGGAGAAGGAACCCGGAGAUUCUUUUUUUCUUUUUCCUUUUUUUUUUUUUUUUUGCAAAUGCCUCUUUUUCCCCGUUUUGCUUUGGUGUCUGUAGAAGAGGAUUUUUGCGGAGACCAACUUUUUUGCUGCUGUUUUUUAGACAAGAUGGAAAACCUUUAUAGACACAUAAUGCUCAUAGCAUGCAUACUAACACACGUAUACAUUUAGAGCUUACAAAACACAUAUGCAUACAUAUGGACCAAUAGACACACACAGGUAUUCUCUACUAUCACAGUGUACAUAUGCCAACUCAAACACACUCUUGCGCAAACAAAAACAAACACACACACACACACCAGCCUGCUACCAUUUUGGUUUUUGUGCCUACACAGGUGUGUUGCUCUGUGACAGGGCGAGCUCUGGCGAAAAGAAGACAAGAAGAGGAGAAUCCAGGAUAAUUUACAUGCAUCAUUCCUUAGGAAAUAGGGACCAAAGGACUAAACGCUUUUUAAAAGAAUAUAAAUAUAUAAAUAUAUAUAUAUAUUUAAAAAAAAACUCUUACCUUGUAGCUGCAAGUAUUACAAUUUAUUAGUAGUCAAAAGAAAUCAUUAAAUCAAUAUCCAGUGGCCUAAGUAAGAACAAAAAGGAAAUAAUGUAUACAUUGGAAAAAGAUGAGGAAACCUAGUAAAUGGAUGGUUAUUAUGUACUGGUUGCUGUUUGGCUGCCAGUUAUAGCUUAGAACAUGUAGAAUACUAGAAAAGUAGAUUUGCUAAUUUCUGCUGUUGUUUUUUAAAGAAAAAAAAAUACUUGAACUUGUAAAGUAAGGGGGGAGGGAUGAAAAGAGAAAAAAUAUGAAUUUUGUCUGUCCUGCGCCAGUGGGCUUCGGAACAUUGCAGUUUCUGUGUUGGACGUUACAGUCGGGCCACUGGAUAUCUCAGUCAUCGUGGUGUACAGUACAAUUCACAGCACUAUCUGACGGCUGUAAAGGAACUGUUCUGGAGGACAGAGACGGCAGGAGAAGAGGAAACACUGAUGGACCUUCCCGGUGUCUGUGCUGGACAGGGUGUGAGGCUUACUCUCCAUGAGCCUUUGUGUUCACGCGACAAUCCACUGUAAAGACCAAGCAAAAUCAGACAUGGUGUGUUUUCUUUCAAGCUUUUGUAUUACGACAGGGAGUGUGCUAUUAUGAAACUUAUUUAAAUAAAUCUAUAAAGAGACCAGCUUCUGCAAAGGAGACAGAAAAAAAAUGACAAAAAAUGAAGGCAAGCAGAGAAGAGGAGUGAGUUGAUAGCUACUGAAACUGCCAAAAGGGUGGACUCAACCGUAUCACAAUGAAUUGGCUCUCAUGACAUUUGAGACCCCUGACUAUGUAAAAAAAAAAAAAAUAGACCCAUUAAAAUGAACCACGUUCUAGGCAAAAGGGAGGAAGAAAAAGAGAGGGCAGGGAUAUUCAUGUGCGCUGAAGCAAUUGGAAAGUUGGUAUGAUAUUGAGAAACAUCGCCUCCUGUCUCCCCGGCUGCAGAAUAGAUACAAGCAGAACUUGUUCUGAAAAGACAAACUAUAUUGAUUGAUGUCAAAAGCUUUUAGAGCUCAUUUAGCUUUGUCGUAUAUGAUGUAAAUGCCACUGUUAAUAUGUUCCCUUCCUGACCUGAUUUGUUCAUAUAUUAUACAGUAUAUUGAGCCUGUGGAAAAACCUAACAACCCGUCUCAACCUGACCUAACAGUCUGAAUUACAGCCGUCCAGCAGCCAUCAUUCAGCUCCUCCCUGCCAAUCCAUGCCAGGCAGAAAACACAUCCUUUAUUUUGACAAUUCUACAGUGGUGGAUGGAGCCGGCCCCUCCAUGAACAACGGAUCAAUACGUUCGCAACGAGUCUCCAGGAGCAAGUCAUAUUCUGCCCCCAUGUGAUUAAGUUCUCUCAUUAGAACACUAGCCCCCACUCCCUCAGAGCUGCCUUGAAGAAUGGUGAGCAGGGGGCAGAGGUGGACGGUGGUUGGGAUGGGGGUAGGAAAAUCAACAGCCAAGCCCUGGCCCCCUGAGUACCACUGCGCACGACGCCAGCGUGUCCAACCUCGCCUUUUCCUGUAUCCUUUUUUUGCGGUGAUCCUGGGACUUUUCCCCCCGGGGACCAAAUCCAUUCGAGCAGAAGUCGCAGAAACCGACGACACCCAUCCGCACCCACACACCCUGGCCCGACACCACGGAUGUCUCUGUGUCCUAGCUCUUGGCAUGUAUAAGGCACCUGCCGCCUUCUGUGCAGCCUGCCUCUGUUUACCUCUGGGACUCGCUCUCCAAAGUGGAGCGGACGCAUUCCAAGUCACUGCAGCAUUGACUGACCGAAAGCACUGCCUGCCUGCAUCCCAUCAGACUUAACUACAGUGCAAUGACUUUCAUUCUCUCUCUUCUAGCUGCAUACAGAUCACACCCUACCGCUCUUUUCUGGGAGCAAUGAAAAAAAGUAUUGGAUUUUCUCUUUUUUCAGGCCUAUCUACCCUGGCUUUUACUAUGCCAUAUUACUGUAAUGUAUAUCAACAAUGCUGAGUACUCUGGUCAUUCUGACUCAAGCAGGCUAUACUGUUCAGCCCUUCCCCUGAAACACUGUUCCUAACCAACCCACGGCUCGCGGUGAUCUGUCCCUCCACAUUAGACAUGCUAUUUCACCUUUCCCUCUAAUUAGGUUGUAAUGGUAACUCUUUACAUUAACACCAACCGAGUGAAAAAUCGUCAGCAUAAUCAUUUGGACCAAAUUACUUUGGGCAUGGUCGUCUGAAUGCUCUUUGAUGACAGAAGGUAGAUUAGAGAGAGUUAUGUUUGAAAGGGCUCCCUGGCAAGGCUUUCGACAGCUGACCUGGCACGGACACAGGAUCCAGGAAGCAGGAUAAAACCCUCCGUAUCAUAGCUACUCUAGGUAUUAAUGUUUGAUAUUUGAGUGGUGUGGGUAUAUAUUAUUUCAAACAUCAGUAUAUAUAAAAAAAAAAAAAAAGGUUUCAGUUGUUGCUCCAGGCACAAAAGCUAGUGAGCAAAUAGCAGGUUGAAAUGGGUAGCAACCAAGCAACAUUUGUGUUGAAAAGCCGCGAGUUCCUCCAUUGCAGCCGCCUGCUGAGUGGUCUGUGUUAUUGUACUUCAGCUUUCAGCAUGUAAUUGUAUCUCAACAAUCUUUUCAGAGGCUGCCUUUUUCCUCAAAAUAACCUGCUCAAAAAAAUAAAAAAAAUUCACUACAGUAUUACAGCCGGGACACCUGCAAAGCAUAGAGUAUUGUUCAGAAGUGAAAGGAGGCGAAUUGGUGGAGCAGAGUAGUUCUUUCGAAUCAAAUCAUGCCCAUUGAAGAAACUGUGCCAGCUUUGGUCUUGGGUCGUCUCAACUUGCCUUCAAAAACACAGUAAAAAAAUAAAAAAAUAAAUCACACUCAGCCUUUAGAUGUUCUGAAGUCAGCCAAACAAGCCGGGGCCAGGAAGUCCCAGGAAACAAUGUGUAGGUCAAGCAAAGAGGGUAAGAAGAAACACAUGUCUGCACAGCAGCCAUUUUGAGCUCAUCAUUUACUUAGUGCUCAGUUAUUGAAUGGGAAACCUAGUGUUCCAUGAGCCUUGUCUCCUAUGGUUGUUUCUCUGCUGGCUCAAGACUGGUUCUGUGACCCCCACACCGAGCCCUCCGGGCCGCUUCGUUAGCCUCUCUCGUCUUUCUGUAGAACCAGAUAUAUGCUGCACACCCACAGAAUGUACUUAGAGCAAGGUCGUAUUCAACCCAGGUCCAGUCUCCUGGCCAGUCCUCUGUUCACUGCUUGACUAACAGUGCCGUGCUCGUACAGGGAGCUGCCAAAGCAUGCUCUGAAGGCUAAAUUAGGCGAUGUUAAAUCAGAGAGUUGUUUGAACAAGGGUGCUCUUAUUGCUCUCCCACCCAGGGGAGGGUGUUAUUGUCAUGACAUGCAGUGAAACCAGAAAUAGCUGUUGUGAAGCCAGCCUCUGGAACAUCGGAAAUGUGAAGUGGGUUUGAUUACAUCUCUUAUUGAAUCUCAGCGCAGCUCUGGCCAUGUCUGCCCUUUAGUCCAUGCACAGGCUGCCUGUAUACUGUUAUCUUAGGAGUGAAUCGUUAUUCACACGAUGCGUUUAAUGGCUGCAAUUGGAUGUUGUGCUGACUGACAUCCCACUGCUCAUAUUUGAAAGAGAAAAAUUCAGUAUUGAAAUUGUUGUUUUAUGCUGCUAAUGUGUUUGAGUGACUUAUGGGAAAUUCUUCAAAAAUCAUGACUAAUUAAAUUGUAAUGCCAUCAAAAGAUAUUUAUGGUUAUAUGUUGAUGGCAAAGAUCACUUUAAUGUGACCUUUGAAUGUACUGUAGCAUUAACACCUCUGAGAUAAUUAUUCCCAUUUGGUAACCACAUGUUAUUCUGCCUCUAUUGACAUGUCAGACUUCAUAGGGAGUUAGCAACCUUAGAGCUCCGAGGCUGACAGAGAGGCUGGGUAACCAAUCCUAAAGGCCAGAGAGGUUGACAGAAAGGCUACAUGACCAAUCAUCUGAGUUCUGAGUCUGGCAGUUCAAUAACCAAUCAUAGCGGGCAAAGAGAGAACUGCUGUAGCAUGUCUGCCAGCCCCUGGGUGUAGAGAGCACUCACCCUAAAAUAGCAGUGAUUGUCAAGGAAAGGAAGUGAACUGUAAUUGACUGAAAGUGGAGAGAUAAUUAAAGGAACCUGUUGGACAGGAGGGAGAAAUUAAUGCCUCUCAUUUAAUAGCUGCUUUGGGAGAAGAGGAGAGCUUUUCCCUCAUCUCAAACAGCUAACGCAAAAAGGGUUUUUGGCCAUGGAAAUGGGAUUUCAGCUGAAACGGAAAGUGAAGUGGGUUUGGGGGGAUGGAGUGGGGGAGGUGAGCACUAAACCGAAACUCCACAAAAUCUCUUUUAUACUCAGGGCAUCAGGCGCUAUGAUGUCAGGAUUAGUGGAGACUUUCAGAGCCUUGCCUUCCCCAUGGGGAGCAGUGGCUGAGCGGUCACCCAGAGAGAUGGAGAGGUUAGUGGGAGCGUGUUGGGCCUCGGCCGAUGACACUGUGGGUCUCUGUAUGAACCAGAGAGAGGAUCACAGUCAGUCAGCCAGCUAGUCAGUCAGACGGGGGGGGGGGGGGGGGGUACAAUUUGUCUAAAGCAGAACAGUGGCACAGGAACAUGAAAACAAUAAUGCCUUGAAAAUAUCAGGUCAUCGAGCAAAAAAAGGCUUUGAUCCUAUCAUAAACAACAUAAAUAGCAGUGAAUCAGAGGAAAGAGUGCAAUCAUGUUUGACAACAAAGCUGGAGAUUAAAAUCCCAAAUGAUGAAGACAAAUACUUUUUUAUUAUUUCAUGUAAAUAAAAAAGAAAAGAAUCAAAGGUAGCAGGCAGUAGGUACUGCCCAGCAUGCAGAGAUGUCUGCAGUAGUUACCCAGCUGAAUGGGAUAUUGAUGUCACUAUAAAACGUAUCCACAACAGCCCAGGGAUUCUUUAGAAGGUGGGGCAUUUUAACGCUUUUUGGUUAGUGUGUCAACAUGAUUGUAUAGGCUCAAUACCAGGAGUGUCAGACAGAUGGCCCAUGGGUCCAGUCUGCUAAUAGAGUGGCUUGAGUAAAAAUUGAAAG
Esox lucius (northern pike) is the source of this 9047-nucleotide RNA transcript. It is a transcript of the gene named CUGBP Elav-like family member 6, with no coding region annotated. The record is from RefSeq and is a predicted model, not a curated record. The transcript is spliced from 14 exons. NCBI's taxonomy places the organism in Eukaryota, Metazoa, Chordata, Actinopteri, Esociformes, Esocidae.